UACGUAGGGAGCAAGCGUUAUCCGGAUUUAUUGGGUGUAAAGGGUGCGUAGGCGGGAAGGCAAGUUGAAUGUGAAAUACCGUGGCUUAACUACGGGGCUGCGUUCAAAACUGUUUUUCUUGAGUACAGCAGAGGCAAGCGGAAUUCCCAGUGUAGCGGUAAUAUGCGUAGAUAUUGGGAGGAACACCGGUGGCGAAGGCGGCUUGCUGGGCUGCAACUGACGCUGAAGCACGAAAGUGUGGGGAGCAAAC
Molecule: ribosomal RNA, 250 nt
Filed under: uncultured bacterium
Lineage: Bacteria
Description: partial 16S ribosomal RNA
Rfam family: Bacterial small subunit ribosomal RNA
Source: RNAcentral